UACGUAGGGUGCGAGCGUUGUCCGGAAUUACUGGGCGUAAAGAGCUCGUAGGUGGUUUGUCGCGUCGUCUGUGAAAUUCCGGGGCUCAACUCCGGAUGGGCAGGCGAUACGGGCAUAACUUGAGUGCUGUAGGGGAGACUGGAAUUCCUGGUGUAGCGGUGAAAUGCGCAGAUAUCAGGAGGAACACCGAUGGCGAAGGCAGGUCUCUGGGCAGUUACUGACGCUGAGGAGCGAAAGCAUGGGUAGCGAACAGG
Molecule: ribosomal RNA, 254 nt
Filed under: uncultured bacterium
Lineage: Bacteria
Description: partial 16S ribosomal RNA
Rfam family: Bacterial small subunit ribosomal RNA
Source: RNAcentral